Molecule: long non-coding RNA, 460 nt
Organism: Bos taurus (domestic cattle)
Lineage: Eukaryota; Metazoa; Chordata; Mammalia; Artiodactyla; Bovidae
Source: Ensembl
AAUGCUGAAGCCUCAGGAGAGAUGAGUGAACCCACAGAAGAGGAGGGAAGGGAGCCAGCAGGGAGGGAAGAGGAAGGAGGCUUGGGCACCCUCUGCCGCAAAGCUUCGACAGAGCAGGGGCAGCGUGGUCGGAAGACAGAGCGAAGCUGGUGCGGAAGGGACAGCAGGGUCUCGACACAACCAGGUCUGGUUGGCUGAGCAGCCCUUGUAUUUCAUUCCGCUUUCCUGACAGAUUUGUGGUUGUCUGUUCUCAUUUUAUUUCAGCCCGUAUGCUUUAAAUAGACGGAGUUCAUUGCUGAGCGAUUCCUUGGGUGGUCUCACCUUGGAGUCUUCAACUGCUGUCCAGGUCUCGUGUUUUACAAGCUGCAGGGAGAGCUGCCGGCGCAGAGAAUCCAAGCAGGAAGUGAGUGUUCGGGAGAUGAGCACCCUAAAGGGAUCAGCGAAGUGCUCUCGGUUACAG